UUGCAGUUAAAAAGCUCGUAGUUGGAUUUCUGUGAGAGUAUGAUGUCCUAACGUGUUUAGAGCGCAGAAAACUCUUGCAUCCUUCUGUUACCUCCACGUGGCAUUCGCUUGCCAGUGGUUGGCUCAGAGAAUUUACCUUGAGAAAAUUAGAGUGUUUCAGGCAGGCUUAGUCGGAAUACAUUAGCAUGGAAUAAUAGAAUAGGACUCCGGUCUCGUUGUUGGUUUGAGGGACUGUAGUAAUGAUUAAUAGGGAUAGUUGGGGGCAUUAGUAUUCGGUUGUCAGAGGUGAAAUUCUCAGAUUUAUUGAAGACUAACUUAUGCGAAAGCAUUUGCCAAGGAUGUUUUCAUUAAUCAAGAACGAAAGUUAGGGGAUCAAAGACGAUCAGAUACCGUCCUAGUCUUAACCAUAAACUAUGCCGACUCGGGACUGGGGGCGUGUUAUUAUCCGCCUUCAGCACCGUAUGAGAAAUCAAAGUCUUUGGGUNCUGGGGGGAGUAUGGU
RNAcentral lists this ribosomal RNA (501 nucleotides) under uncultured eukaryote. Its description in RNAcentral is "SSU rRNA". It matches the Rfam family "Eukaryotic small subunit ribosomal RNA", at positions 613 to 1129 of the family's 1831-position model. The record is from RNAcentral.